UGCUUUUUGAAACAAUUCUGUUGUGUGUCACCAAAACGUCAGAAAUGACAAGCGUCAUCCUAUAUCAUACAAGUUUUAAUCACAAUAACGUAUUCUCCAAGGAUGCUAUUGUAUAAUAUGCUGACAACAAACGAUUUGUAAGACUACUGAGAAGUCCCAAUUCCAUUAAACGGAAAGAAAUGCGUAAAUUACAGACAAUUGGAUAAAACAAUGUUUUCCAUUGAUCUGGG
Molecule: long non-coding RNA, 230 nt
Filed under: Mytilus galloprovincialis (Mediterranean mussel)
Lineage: Eukaryota; Metazoa; Mollusca; Bivalvia; Mytilida; Mytilidae
Source: RNAcentral